CUUAUAUACAAAAAGUCCGCUGGAACAAAUCUGGAGUUGCAAGUGUGCUGGCUUCUCACUGGCUGAGUCGUGACCUUGUCUCACCCGCUGGGCCGUCGCCUCCAAGGAGGAACUCUUUCACCCUCCCUGCGGAGGGAGCAAAGCUCAGCAAGGUACCUCUUCUCCUGCAGGGUCUGCUAUGGAGGAGGGCGGUAGGGCGCGAGAGCGCCCCCUCCUGGCCGCCCCGCUCCAUUUGCAACGCGGCUUCCUUUUCCCCGCCUCCUGCCUUCCAGUCAGGGUGCAGCCCGGACACGAGUAAGAGUGGCAAGCAAGUAUUGGGCGCCUACUGUAUACCAGGCAGUGAGCGCUUUUCGCGCGACCACCUAACUGACUCCUCCAAACCACGCUCUCCGGUUAUUCAUCUGCUGACCGCAUAGACGCUUACGCAGCCCGUCACCUCUGGGUAGGCAGCUGAAGCCCAGAGAAAGGGAGGGGGAGGAGAGACAUCCAGAACAAGGUUGGGCUGCCUGGUACAGCUGUGCAGAUGGUGCACUGCACAAUUCCAGGAGCGCCGUUCAGAAAGACUGCAAUGUGAAUGCUGCCCCCUGGAGUCCGAAAGAGCUCAAGAAUCACAACUCUAUGUCAUGCUCCUGGGUCAGGUGCACGAGACACUGCCAAGCACCCAUUGAACGACUCCUCUUUGUGAGCCUGUGCGGGUUUCCGGACAGUAACAAAUAAUGCACAGCAUUUGGUAGUGUUGAACGCUGAGGCCAAGAAGCAUAUCCGGCGGCAUUAAACUGUGUUCUGUACUCUUAAAUUUUCAUACAUGCAAGCCCUAAUGUAACAAGCGUGAAGUGUAAUACCCAUUCCUUAGAGUGGCCAUUCGAGGACUAGUAGAAUUGCAUCUUUUUUUCUUUAUAAAGCUAUUACUUAGUUAAA
Long non-coding RNA from Neofelis nebulosa (Clouded leopard), 918 nucleotides. RefSeq lists it as uncharacterized. The transcript is spliced from 2 exons. NCBI's taxonomy places the organism in Eukaryota, Metazoa, Chordata, Mammalia, Carnivora, Felidae. The record is from RefSeq and is a predicted model, not a curated record.